RNAcentral lists this unclassified non-coding RNA (336 nucleotides) under soil metagenome. RNAcentral's name for it is "partial contains 5.8S ribosomal RNA, internal transcribed spacer 2, and large subunit ribosomal RNA". The stretch from base 1 to 120 matches the Rfam family "5.8S ribosomal RNA", at positions 35 to 154 of the family's 154-position model. The record is from RNAcentral.
GAUGAAGAACGUAGCGAAAUGCGAUAAGUAAUGUGAAUUGCAGAAUUCAGUGAAUCAUCGAAUCUUUUAACGCACAUUGCGCCCGCCAGUAUUCUGGCGGGCAUGCCUGUUCGAGCGUCAUUUCAACCAUCAAGCCCCCGGCUUGUGUUGGGGACCUGCGGCUGCCGCAGGCCCUGAAAAGCAGUGGCGGGCUCGCUGUCACACCGAGCGUAGUAGCAUACAUCUCGCUCUGGGCGUGCUGCGGGUUCCGGCCGUUAAACCACCUUCAUAACCCAAGGUUGACCUCGGAUCAGGUAGGAAGACCCGCUGAACUUAAGCAUAUCAAUAAGCGGAGGA